Molecule: ribosomal RNA, 433 nt
Filed under: uncultured bacterium
Lineage: Bacteria
Description: partial 16S ribosomal RNA
Rfam family: Bacterial small subunit ribosomal RNA
Source: RNAcentral
AACGAACGCUGGCGGCAUGCCUAACACAUGCAAGUCGAACGAGACCUUCGGGUCUAGUGUCGCACGGGUGCGUAACGCGUGGGAACCUGCCCUUAGGUUCGGAAUAACUCCCCGAAAGGGGUGCUAAUACCGGAUAAUGUCUUCGGACCAAAGAUUUAUCGCCUUUGGAUGGGCCCGCGUUGGAUUAGCUAGUUGGUAGUGUAAAAGCCUACCAAGGCGACGAUCCAUAGCUGGUCUGAGAGGAUGAUCAGCCACACUGGGACUGAGACACGGCCCAGACUCCUACGGGAGGCAGCAGUGGGGAAUAUUGGACAAUGGGCGAAAGCCUGAUCCAGCAAUGCCGCGUGAGUGAUGAAGGCCUUAGGGUUGUAAAACUCUUUUACCCGGGAUGAUAAUGACAGUACCGGGAGAAUAAGCUCCGGCUAACUCCGUG